Molecule: ribosomal RNA, 137 nt
Filed under: uncultured bacterium
Lineage: Bacteria
Description: partial 16S ribosomal RNA
Rfam family: Bacterial small subunit ribosomal RNA
Source: RNAcentral
UGGGGGAUAUUGCACAAUGGGGGGAACCCUGAUGCAGCGACGCCGCGUGGGUGAAGAAGCGCCUCGGCGCGUAAAGCCCUGUCAGCAGGGAAGAAAAUGACGGUACCUGAAGAAGAAGCCCCGGCUAACUACAUGCC